UGCUUUACACAUGCAAGUCGAACGGCAGCACGGGGGCAACCCUGGUGGCGAGUGGCGAACGGGUGAGUAAUGUAUCGGAACGUACCCAGUCGUGGGGGAUAACUAUCCGAAAGGAUAGCUAAUACCGCAUACGUCCUGAGGGGGAAAGCGGGGGAUCGCAAGACCUCGCGCGAUUGGAGCGGCCGAUAUCGGAUUAGCUAGUUGGUGAGGUAAAGGCUCACCAAGGCGACGAUCCGUAGCGGGUCUGAGAGGACGACCCGCCACACUGGAACUGAGACACGGUCCAGACUCCUACGGGAGGCAGCAGUGGGGAAUUUUGGACAAUGGGCGCAAGCCUGAUCCAGCCAUUCCGCGUGAGUGAAGAAGGCCUUCGGGUUGUAAAGCUC
Molecule: ribosomal RNA, 386 nt
Filed under: uncultured organism
Description: bacterial SSU rRNA
Rfam family: Bacterial small subunit ribosomal RNA
Source: RNAcentral